AUCCUUUUUUAGUUCAUAAGCAUGAUGACUGGGUUUUCAGGUGCUUGCGUGAAAUGUGCCUUCCACAGAUCUUGUUACAAUGUUGGCACAUUACCUGUCUGUCA
Nycticebus coucang (slow loris) is the source of this 104-nucleotide small nucleolar RNA. RefSeq annotates it as small nucleolar RNA U13. Lineage: Eukaryota; Metazoa; Chordata; Mammalia; Primates; Lorisidae. The transcript has a single exon. The record is from RefSeq and is a predicted model, not a curated record.